This 77-nucleotide transfer RNA is filed under the name compost metagenome. Its description in RNAcentral is "tRNA-Ile". It matches the Rfam family "tRNA". From Rfam's summary of the family: Transfer RNA (tRNA) molecules are approximately 80 nucleotides in length. The record is from RNAcentral.
GGUUCCGUAGCUCAAAUGGAUUAGAGCAAGCGCCCAAUAAGUGUAAGUGUUGCAGGUUCGAGUCCUGUCGGAACCAC